Molecule: ribosomal RNA, 2902 nt
Filed under: Klebsiella pneumoniae
Lineage: Bacteria; Pseudomonadati; Pseudomonadota; Gammaproteobacteria; Enterobacterales; Enterobacteriaceae
Description: 23S ribosomal RNA
Rfam family: Bacterial large subunit ribosomal RNA
Source: RNAcentral
GGUUAAGCGACUAAGCGUACACGGUGGAUGCCCUGGCAGUCAGAGGCGAUGAAGGACGUGCUAAUCUGCGAAAAGCGUCGGUAAGGUGAUAUGAACCGUUAUAACCGGCGAUGUCCGAAUGGGGAAACCCAGUGUGAUUCGUCACACUAUCGUUAACUGAAUACAUAGGUUAACGAGGCGAACCGGGGGAACUGAAACAUCUAAGUACCCCGAGGAAAAGAAAUCAACCGAGAUUCCCCCAGUAGCGGCGAGCGAACGGGGAGCAGCCCAGAGUCUGAAUCAGCUUGUGUGUUAGUGGAACGGUCUGGAAAGUCCGACGGUACAGGGUGAUAGUCCCGUACACCAAAAUGCACAGGUUGUGAACUCGAAGAGUAGGGCGGGACACGUGGUAUCCUGUCUGAAUAUGGGGGGACCAUCCUCCAAGGCUAAAUACUCCUGACUGACCGAUAGUGAACCAGUACCGUGAGGGAAAGGCGAAAAGAACCCCGGCGAGGGGAGUGAAAAAGAACCUGAAACCGUGUACGUACAAGCAGUGGGAGCACCUUCGGGUGUGACUGCGUACCUUUUGUAUAAUGGGUCAGCGACUUAUAUUCUGUAGCAAGGUUAACCGUAUAGGGGAGCCGCAGGGAAACCGAGUCUUAACUGGGCGUUAAGUUGCAGGGUAUAGACCCGAAACCCGGUGAUCUAGCCAUGGGCAGGUUGAAGGUUGGGUAACACUAACUGGAGGACCGAACCGACUAAUGUUGAAAAAUUAGCGGAUGACUUGUGGCUGGGGGUGAAAGGCCAAUCAAACCGGGAGAUAGCUGGUUCUCCCCGAAAGCUAUUUAGGUAGCGCCUCGUGAACUCAUCUUCGGGGGUAGAGCACUGUUUCGGCUAGGGGGUCAUCCCGACUUACCAACCCGAUGCAAACUACGAAUACCGAAGAAUGUUAUCACGGGAGACACACGGCGGGUGCUAACGUCCGUCGUGAAGAGGGAAACAACCCAGACCGCCAGCUAAGGUCCCAAAGUCAUGGUUAAGUGGGAAACGAUGUGGGAAGGCACAGACAGCCAGGAUGUUGGCUUAGAAGCAGCCAUCAUUUAAAGAAAGCGUAAUAGCUCACUGGUCGAGUCGGCCUGCGCGGAAGAUGUAACGGGGCUAAACCAUGCACCGAAGCUGCGGCAGCGACACUAUGUGUUGUUGGGUAGGGGAGCGUUCUGUAAGCCUGCGAAGGUGACCUGUGAGGGUUGCUGGAGGUAUCAGAAGUGCGAAUGCUGACAUAAGUAACGAUAAAGCGGGUGAAAAGCCCGCUCGCCGGAAGACCAAGGGUUCCUGUCCAACGUUAAUCGGGGCAGGGUGAGUCGACCCCUAAGGCGAGGCCGAAAGGCGUAGUCGAUGGGAAACAGGUUAAUAUUCCUGUACUUGGUGUUACUGCGAAGGGGGGACGGAGAAGGCUAUGUUAGCCGGGCGACGGUUGUCCCGGUUUAAGCAUGUAGGCUGGUUGUCCAGGCAAAUCCGGAUAAUCAAGGCUGAGGUGUGAUGACGAGGCACUACGGUGCUGAAGUAACAAAUGCCCUGCUUCCAGGAAAAGCCUCUAAGCAUCAGGUAACAUUAAAUCGUACCCCAAACCGACACAGGUGGUCAGGUAGAGAAUACCAAGGCGCUUGAGAGAACUCGGGUGAAGGAACUAGGCAAAAUGGUGCCGUAACUUCGGGAGAAGGCACGCUGGUGUGUAGGUGAAGUCCCUGCGGAUGGAGCUGAGACCAGUCGAAGAUACCAGCUGGCUGCAACUGUUUAUUAAAAACACAGCACUGUGCAAACACGAAAGUGGACGUAUACGGUGUGACGCCUGCCCGGUGCCGGAAGGUUAAUUGAUGGGGUUAUCCGUAAGGAGAAGCUCUUGAUCGAAGCCCCGGUAAACGGCGGCCGUAACUAUAACGGUCCUAAGGUAGCGAAAUUCCUUGUCGGGUAAGUUCCGACCUGCACGAAUGGCGUAAUGAUGGCCAGGCUGUCUCCACCCGAGACUCAGUGAAAUUGAACUCGCUGUGAAGAUGCAGUGUACCCGCGGCAAGACGGAAAGACCCCGUGAACCUUUACUAUAGCUUGACACUGAACAUUGAGCCUUGAUGUGUAGGAUAGGUGGGAGGCUUUGAAGCGUGGACGCCAGUCUGCGUGGAGCCAACCUUGAAAUACCACCCUUUAAUGUUUGAUGUUCUAACGUUGGCCCCUGACCGGGGUUGCGGACAGUGUCUGGUGGGUAGUUUGACUGGGGCGGUCUCCUCCCAAAGCGUAACGGAGGAGCACGAAGGUUAGCUAAUCCUGGUCGGACAUCAGGAGGUUAGUGCAAUGGCAUAAGCUAGCUUGACUGCGAGCGUGACGGCGCGAGCAGGUGCGAAAGCAGGUCAUAGUGAUCCGGUGGUUCUGAAUGGAAGGGCCAUCGCUCAACGGAUAAAAGGUACUCCGGGGAUAACAGGCUGAUACCGCCCAAGAGUUCAUAUCGACGGCGGUGUUUGGCACCUCGAUGUCGGCUCAUCACAUCCUGGGGCUGAAGUAGGUCCCAAGGGUAUGGCUGUUCGCCAUUUAAAGUGGUACGCGAGCUGGGUUUAGAACGUCGUGAGACAGUUCGGUCCCUAUCUGCCGUGGGCGCUGGAGAAUUGAGGGGGGCUGCUCCUAGUACGAGAGGACCGGAGUGGACGCAUCACUGGUGUUCGGGUUGUCAUGCCAAUGGCACUGCCCGGUAGCUAAAUGCGGAAGAGAUAAGUGCUGAAAGCAUCUAAGCACGAAACUUGCCCCGAGAUGAGUUCUCCCUGAGACUUUAAGUCUCCUGAAGGAACGUUGAAGACGACGACGUUGAUAGGCCGGGUGUGUAAGCGCAGCGAUGCGUUGAGCUAACCGGUACUAAUGAACCGUGAGGCUUAACCUU